Molecule: ribosomal RNA, 700 nt
Filed under: uncultured Alphaproteobacteria bacterium
Lineage: Bacteria; Pseudomonadati; Pseudomonadota; Alphaproteobacteria
Description: bacterial SSU rRNA
Rfam family: Bacterial small subunit ribosomal RNA
Source: RNAcentral
GACGGACCCUUCGGGGUUAGUGGCGGACGGGUGAGUAACACGUGGGAACGUGCCUUUAGGUUCGGAAUAGCUCCUGGAAACGGGUGGUAAUGCCGAAUGUGCCCUUCGGGGGAAAGAUUUAUCGCCUUUAGAGCGGCCCGCGUCUGAUUAGCUAGUUGGUGGGGUAAUGGCCCACCAAGGCUACGAUCAGUAGCUGGUCUGAGAGGAUGACCAGCCACAUUGGGACUGAGACACGGCCCAAACUCCUACGGGAGGCAGCAGUGGGGAAUCUUGCGCAAUGGGCGAAAGCCUGACGCAGCCAUGCCGCGUGUAUGAUGAAGGUCUUAGGAUUGUAAAAUACUUUCACCGGUGAAGAUAAUGACUGUAGCCGGAGAAGAAGCCCCGGCUAACUUCGUGCCAGCAGCCGCGGUAAUACGAAGGGGGCUAGCGUUGCUCGGAAUUACUGGGCGUAAAGGGAACGUAGGCGGACAUUUAAGUCAGAGGUGAAAUCCCGGAGCUUAACUUCGGAACUGCCUUUGAUACUGGGUGUCUUGAGUGUGAGAGAGGUAUGUGGAACUCCGAGUGUAGAGGUGAAAUUCGUAGAUAUUCGGAAGAACACCAGUGGCGAAGGCGACAUACUGGCUCAUUACUGACGCUGAGGCUCGAAAGCGUGGGGAGCAAACAGGAUUAGAUACCCUGGUAGUCCACGCCGUAAACGAUG